AGGAGAUUGAAGAGAGGGAUUAACUGGUAGCAUGUGUCCAUAAUGCUGUAUAUCCAAGAACUUUUAUUUAUUAUAUUUCCCUAGAGUAAAGAGUUCCAAACUGGACCAGUGGCUCAUCAUGAGGAAGUGAGGAAGUUGAAAAUGUUUCCAGUCUUCAUUGGUCCUGAGGUCACAACUCAGUUCACUAGAUCCCUGCCAAACUCCAGAAAAUGGAAGGGAGUAAGAAAUCAUCCCUGUCAAUGACAGACUUCCAAGCAGAUGGAUUACUAAAUUGGAAAGAAGAUUAGGAGAAUGCUGAAGAGCCUAAUUUACAUGGAUUUCAGAAAAUUAUCUGGCAGUCUCUCAUGCUCUCCUUGUAAACAUAUUGAAGAUAACACAGAAAAUCGAGCAGUUAAGAGUCAACUUUUCAGUCACCAUAUGUCAGUCUAGAGGAAGAUAUUUUAGAACAGCCUCACCAGGAACAGAGUCUUGGGGUCCAGUCAGCAGAUUAUCCACCAGCCUCCACUCCAAAGAAUGAAGAACUGUCAGUAGAACUCCUUCAGGAACUUGUAACUCCCUUUUAAAGACACUUUCUUUUGCAUCACUUCCUGUAUCUUCCUCCACUUUUUAUGUGGACAAAUCAUAGUCUAAAGCCUUUAGGACUGUUCAGGAGGCAGUCAGUCAUUUCUGAUUCAUCACCCACUAUUGCACACGUGGGUCACAGACCUCCCACUUAAUGAUUAUAUUUUUUUGGUGGUUAGAUCUAAAAAUGGGCAGAUCUCCCUACUCAACUUGUAAGUAGGGUGUUUAUACUUUUGGUGAUUAAAUCUAAAAAUAGGCAGUGGUUAUAAUUUAAUCUUCACAAUCA
RNAcentral lists this long non-coding RNA (847 nucleotides) under Monodelphis domestica (gray short-tailed opossum). RNAcentral's name for it is "lncRNA (ENSMODG00000030317.2)". The record is from RNAcentral. Lineage: Eukaryota; Metazoa; Chordata; Mammalia; Didelphimorphia; Didelphidae.